CCGUACACAAAAAUGCACAUAUUGUGAGCUCGAUGAGUAGGGCGGGACACGUGGUAUCCUGUCUGAAUAUGGGGGGACCAUCCUCCAAGGCUAAAUACUCCUGACUGACCGAUAGUGAACCAGUACCGUGAGGGAAAGGCGAAAAGAACCCCGGCGAGGGGAGUGAAAAAGAACCUGAAACCGUGUACGUACAAGCAGUGGGAGCACGCUUAGGCGUGUGACUGCGUACCUUUUGUAUAAUGGGUCAGCGACUUAUAUUCUGUAGCAAGGUUAACCGAAUAGGGGAGCCGAAGGGAAACCGAGUCUUAACUGGGCGUUAAGUUGCAGGGUAUAGACCCGAAACCCGGUGAUCUAGCCAUGGGCAGGUUGAAGGUUGGGUAACACUAACUGGAGGACCGAACCGACUAAUGUUGAAAAAUUAGCGGAUGACUUGUGGCUGGGGGUGAAAGGCCAAUCAAACCGGGAGAUAGCUGGUUCUCCCCGAAAGCUAUUUAGGUAGCGCCUCGUGAAUUCAUCUCCGGGGGUAGAGCACUGUUUCGGCAAGGGGGUCAUCCCGACUUACCAACCCGAUGCAAACUGCGAAUACCGGAGAAUGUUAUCACGGGAGACACACGGCGGGUGCUAACGUCCGUCGUGAAGAGGGAAACAACCCAGACCGCCAGCUAAGGUCCCAAAGUCAUGGUUAAGUGGGAAACGAUGUGGGAAGGCCCAGACAGCCAGGAUGUUGGCUUAGAAGCAGCCAUCAUUUAAAGAAAGCGUAAUAGCUCACUGGUCGAGUCGGCCUGCGCGGAAGAUGUAACGGGGCUAAACCAUGCACCGAAGCUGCGGCAGCGACGCUGAUGCGUUGUUGGGUAGGGGAGCGUUCUGUAAGCCUGCGAAGGUGUGCUGUGAGGCAUGCUGGAGGUAUCAGAAGUGCGAAUGCUGACAUAAGUAACGAUAAAGCGGGUGAAAAGCCCGCUCGCCGGAAGACCAAGGGUUCCUGUCCAACGUUAAUCGGGGCAGGGUGAGUCGACCCCUAAGGCGAGGCCGAAAGGCGUAGUCGAUGGGAAACAGGUUAAUAUUCCUGUACUUGGUGUUACUGCGAAGGGGGGACGGAGAAGGCUAUGUUGGCCGGGCGACGGUUGUCCCGGUUUAAGCGUGUAGGCUGGUUUUCCAGGCAAAUCCGGAAAAUCAAGGCUGAGGCGUGAUGACGAGGCACUACGGUGCUGAAGCAACAAAUGCCCUGCUUCCAGGAAAAGCCUCUAAGCAUCAGGUAACAUCAAAUCGUACCCCAAACCGACACAGGUGGUCAGGUAGAGAAUACCAAGGCGCUUGAGAGAACUCGGGUGAAGGAACUAGGCAAAAUGGUGCCGUAACUUCGGGAGAAGG
Molecule: ribosomal RNA, 1368 nt
Filed under: Escherichia coli
Lineage: Bacteria; Pseudomonadati; Pseudomonadota; Gammaproteobacteria; Enterobacterales; Enterobacteriaceae
Description: partial 23S ribosomal RNA
Rfam family: Bacterial large subunit ribosomal RNA
Source: RNAcentral